GACGAACGCUGGCGGCGUGCCUAAUACAUGCAAGUAGAACGCACAGUUUAUACCGUAGCUUGCUACACCAUAGACUGUGAGUUGCGAACGGGUGAGUAACGCGUAGGUAACCUGCCUGGUAGCGGGGGAUAACUAUUGGAAACGAUAGCUAAUACCGCAUAAUAUUAAUUAUUGCAUGAUAAUUAAUUGAAAGGUGCAAUUGCACCACUACCAGAUGGACCUGCGUUGUAUUAGCUAGUAGGUGAGGUAACGGCUCACCUAGGCGACGAUACAUAGCCGACCUGAGAGGGUGAUCGGCCACACUGGGACUGAGACACGGCCCAGACUCCUACGGGAGGCAGCAGUAGGGAAUCUUCGGCAAUGGACGAAAGUCUGACCGAGCAACGCCGCGUGAGUGAAGAAGGGUUUCGGAUCGUAAAGCUCCGUUGUAAGAGAAGAACGGGUGUGAGAGUGGAAAGUUCACACUGUGACGGUAUCUUACCAGAAAGGGACGGCUAACUACGUG
Molecule: ribosomal RNA, 505 nt
Filed under: uncultured bacterium
Lineage: Bacteria
Description: partial 16S ribosomal RNA
Rfam family: Bacterial small subunit ribosomal RNA
Source: RNAcentral